RNAcentral lists this unclassified non-coding RNA (201 nucleotides) under Hevea brasiliensis (rubber tree). Lineage: Eukaryota; Viridiplantae; Streptophyta; Magnoliopsida; Malpighiales; Euphorbiaceae. The record is from RNAcentral.
GAAGUCAUGCCUUAAUAGAGCAGAAGCUGACCUUGUGGUUCGCGUACCUCUUUUUAGUGCAUAUGAUGACAUUACUUCCAGCAAUUUAGGAAACAAGGGGAACUUCAUGUUUGUGGAUUUUUCAUCAGAAACCAACAUGCUGGAGCAUUUGGAUGUUGAUUUUAUUUCUGAAGUUUUUAGUUCUUUGCAAGAAUUCAUUAA